This is a long non-coding RNA of Anoplopoma fimbria (sablefish), 897 nucleotides long. RefSeq lists it as uncharacterized. NCBI's taxonomy places the organism in Eukaryota, Metazoa, Chordata, Actinopteri, Perciformes, Anoplopomatidae. The transcript is spliced from 3 exons. The record is from RefSeq and is a predicted model, not a curated record.
GGAGCGCAGUUUACGGGAACAAUAACACACCUAUGGUCAUGGCUGCGGACACAGGCUGUACAGACCUGACCCUGCGGACCGAGGAGGGCGUUUCACCGGCCACACAGGAGCUGAAGCAUGUGGAGGCCAGACUGGGGACCCUGUCUGACAACCUCAACCUGUGCAACCAAGUCCUGAGUGACUUAGAGGCUCUAAGUGAUGUUCUAGUGAGAAAAUCUCUCCAGGAUGUGUCCUUACCACCGCGGAAGUGACCAGAAGUGGACCCCCCACCCCCAACCCACCUUUUCUUUAUUAUAUGACUAAAUAAAUCCAAUUAAAAUCAACCGUCAAUUUUAACUGUAAAACACUUCAUUAAAGCAGAGGCAAUAAUUUCAGUGACAAGGAUAAGGUUUUAUUAGUAUCAUAUUGCUUUCAAUUCAGAAAUGUAUUUAUCAUAUUACUUUAUAUGAAACAAGCAUAACAUUAUACAUUCUUUUUUUUAAAAAUACAAACCCUUAAUUAUUCCUCACUCUUUGGGUUUCAAGACAUUCCUUUGGAAACAUAUCGUUGUCUUAAAAUAUUGCCUAAUUGGAAAAGUUUUUGAAUUUCUGGAUCUUAAUUUCAAAAACACUGACACAUUUAUUGAUCAAACAAUUUGCUUCCAAACAAAUGUCUUCAUCAGUGAUUUCUUAUUUUUUUUCCCGUUUCAGGUAAACUCCCAGAAAGACAAACCUGGUCCACAUGUCCAACUAUAUAUAUAUAUAUAUCUGCUUAUUGAUUAAAACAAAUAUGGACAGCUGUCAGUUUUCAUUUCAUUGGUGAAGAUGAGCCAACAAAUUAUCCACAGCAAAUUUCCAAUGUGUGAAAAGUGAUUACAUAAAUGGAGUGAGCCCAAAUGAAACAUGUUUACACAUUACA